RNAcentral lists this non-coding RNA (30 nucleotides) under Mus musculus (house mouse). Lineage: Eukaryota; Metazoa; Chordata; Mammalia; Rodentia; Muridae. The record is from RNAcentral.
UAGGUAGAAACGUCUUUCUAGGGUAGAAGG